Molecule: transfer RNA, 73 nt
Filed under: Capra hircus (goat)
Lineage: Eukaryota; Metazoa; Chordata; Mammalia; Artiodactyla; Bovidae
Also listed under: 1 other name
Source: Rfam by way of RNAcentral
UCCCUGGUGGUACAGUGGUUAGGACUACACGCUUUUACUGCCACGGGCCCAGGUUUGAUCCCUGGUCAGGGAA